UCUUUCAUAUACAUGUCUCUUUCAUUUAUUAUUAUUGCUACUGUAUUUUCUACUGAUCCGUACUGUUGUUUAGCUCUUCCUGAUCCGGUGAAUACUCCUCGCCUUCAUCGGCUUGCGGUACCUACUGGGAGGGGAGACAUGUUUACAUGUUCUCACCUCCCCCACUAUUUUUCAGGUAUCGCGGGCGGUGAGGGUUGAGACGAGACGUGAGAUACGUACGUAGCGGUCUAUAGAGCUUUCAACCCAGGUUAUUCGGUUUAGUUUCUACCCUUACUAUCCUGUUGAUAUAGCUUAGAUAGUUUAUAUGGUUCAGUUUUUGGGUAUUUCAGUUAACUAUCAUAUUUUGAUUUGGCUUUAUGAAUGUAAUAAAAAGGAUUCGUGGUUUUCAUAAUUAAAAGAUUUUCUACCCCCCGUGGUAACGUUUUUAAAGAAUAAGGUUUCCGUGUAGGAAACAGUUUUCAAAGGAUUUUCUGUGGAUUUAUGUUUAAAUAUUGAAUGUAUAACUGUGAUGUGAAUGGUGAAUGAAUGAUUGCAUAGUCGUUUCUAUAUUCAUUUGGUUGUGGUUGUACUUGGGUUACUUCUUGUACUUGUGCGACGCCGUGCAAAUACAGGGGAGACUCUGUCCGUGUGAACAGUGGAUUUCCUGUAUUUGUGGCGGAUUUGGCAUUCCCUGGGGUUAGGUUUUCGAAAAAGAAAAAAAAAAUUUCCGCAGUGUUUUUAA
RNAcentral lists this long non-coding RNA (721 nucleotides) under Ananas comosus (pineapple). Its description in RNAcentral is "long non-coding RNA (ACOM_LNC014722)". Lineage: Eukaryota; Viridiplantae; Streptophyta; Magnoliopsida; Poales; Bromeliaceae. The record is from RNAcentral.